CGGUGGAUGCCCUGGCAGUCAGAGGCGAUGAAGGACGUGCUAAUCUGCGAUAAGCGUCGGUAAGGUGAUAUGAACCGUUAUAACCGGCGAUUUCCGAAUGGGGAAACCCAGUGUGUUUCGACACACUAUCAUUAACUGAAUCCAUAGGUUAAUGAGGCGAACCGGGGGAACUGAAACAUCUAAGUACCCCGAGGAAAAGAAAUCAACCGAGAUUCCCCCAGUAGCGGCGAGCGAAC
RNAcentral lists this ribosomal RNA (236 nucleotides) under Escherichia coli. RNAcentral describes it as "partial 23S ribosomal RNA". It matches the Rfam family "Bacterial large subunit ribosomal RNA", at positions 22 to 258 of the family's 2925-position model. The record is from RNAcentral. Lineage: Bacteria; Pseudomonadati; Pseudomonadota; Gammaproteobacteria; Enterobacterales; Enterobacteriaceae.